CGAAUGGGUCCAAAGACUCUUAAAACCUACCGUGCUCCCCUACGUGGAAAACAGGAAAGCCCUCCGGGGCAUAGGAAAUCUGAAAAGUUGAAGAACUGCGCCCCGGCGUAUGACUAAACAAAAAAAUUA
This 129-nucleotide unclassified non-coding RNA is filed under the name soil metagenome. RNAcentral's name for it is "partial internal transcribed spacer 1". The record is from RNAcentral.